This 502-nucleotide ribosomal RNA is filed under the name uncultured bacterium. Its description in RNAcentral is "partial 16S ribosomal RNA". It matches the Rfam family "Bacterial small subunit ribosomal RNA", at positions 30 to 523 of the family's 1533-position model. The record is from RNAcentral.
AUUGAACGCUGGCGGAAUGCUUUACACAUGCAAGUCGAACGGCAGCACGGGUGCUUGCACCUGGUGGCGAGUGGCGAACGGGUGAGUAAUACAUCGGAACGUACCCAGUUGUGGGGGAUAACUAACCGAAAGGUUAGCUUAUACCGCAUACGACCUGAGGGUGAAAGCGGGGGACCGUAAGGCCUCGCGCAAUUGGAGCGGCCGAUGUCUGAUUAGCUAGUUGGUAGGGUAAAGGCCUACCAAGGCGACGAUCAGUAGCUGGUUUGAAAGGAUGAGCAGCGACACUGGAACUGAGACACGGUCCAGACUCCUACGGGAGGCAGCGGGGGGGAAUUUUGGACAAGGGGCGAAAGCCUGAUCCAGCCAUUCCGCGUGAGUGAAGAAGGCCUUCGGGUUGUAAAGCUCUUUCGGCAGGGAAGAAACGGCCUAGGUUAAUACCUUGGGCUAAUGACGGUACCUGAAGAAGAAGCACCGGCUAACUACGUGCCAGCCGCCGCCGUAA